AUCCUGCCCGGUCAAGAAAAGUCUCUAUCGAGGUUAAAGGUACCCGUACCGCAAACCGACACAGGGGGGUGAGGAGAGUAUCCUAAGGCCAGCGAGAGAACUGUUGUUAAGGAACUCGGCAAAAUGACCCCGUAACGUAGGGAUAAGGGGUGCCACCAUCAGGUGGCCGCAGAGAAUAGGCCCAAGCGACUGUUUACCAAAAACAUAGGUUUCUGCUAAGUCGCAAGACGAUGUAUAGGAGCUGACGCCUGCCCGGUGCUGGAAGGUUAAGGGGAUCUGUUAGAGCAA
Molecule: ribosomal RNA, 288 nt
Filed under: Clostridioides difficile
Lineage: Bacteria; Bacillati; Bacillota; Clostridia; Peptostreptococcales; Peptostreptococcaceae
Description: partial 23S ribosomal RNA
Rfam family: Bacterial large subunit ribosomal RNA
Source: RNAcentral